UCCUCUGCUCUUCUUCUCCCUCCUGUGUCCUCCAUCUCUCUGCUUUCUGUCAUUUUCUUACAUUAAGGGCAUCCAGAGACCGCUGCGUUGAGUCCAGACGUGCAUUAUUCCACUAAUUGCCAGCGAGCUGCAGGAGAGUGAAGCAGUACAGAGCUGACCUUAUAAAGACUCGUCCUGACCAGACCACACUUCAGUCCCAGAAUCCAUGGAAGCCAAGGCCAAGCCCACAGCUCCCACGCCCAAAGGGCCAUCCAAAGCGGAGAAGAAGGAGCCGGCAGCCCCGCGUAAGGCUGAACCCGCCCCCGCCACGCCCGAACCGGAGAUUCCACCUACCCAGGAUGGGGCGGCGGAAGACGCCUGCAGCACGGACUGUCUGGAGCACCUGAAGCCCUUCCUCAUCGGCGGCGCCGUCGUUGCCGUGGGGGCCAUUUUGUUGGGGGCCAUCCUGCUGGCGAGGAGAAACUAAACGUCUCCACCUACGAGAAUGGGACUGAUGAGUUGGUUCACAGGUCGCCACGCUUGAGAUAGGGAGGCGGGGAGUCACUAAGCUUUUUUUUUUUCCUUUUUCGGCCUUUAGACGUGUAUAGUCAUUCUAACAAUAUGCAUGAAAUGAAAUGUAUCCUUCCCUCUAUAACAAAAAAGAAGAAAUGACACUGUAGUGCUCAGUAUACAAACUUUCCAAAAGUAGCCUUUUUUUUAUCUGCUUAUUGCAAAUAUUGCAAAAAUUCAGUAAUUUCUGCAAUAUUGAGCAACGUUUCAUUUUCCAAAGCGCUCCAGAAAAAUGGUAUCCGGGAUUAUCUAGAUUACAGGUGUCAAAUUCCACAUCAUUUUAUAUGGUCUGCAAAAGCCUAAAAAUAAUAUAUAUAUAUAUAUAUAUAUAUAUUUAUAUAUAUAUAUAUAUAUGUAUGUAUAUAUAUAUACAUAUAUAUAAGUAAAUAUAUAUAUUAUUUAUAGGCUUUUAUAUAUAUGUAUAUAUAUAUAUAUAUAUAUAUAUAUAUAUAUAUGUAUUUAUUUAUUUAUCUGCACAAGCCACUCUCUGAGUUGCUGUCACCAGCACCUACAUGUCACUAAACUGAAGACUUGUGUAUUUUCUUUCUCACUUUAUCCUAUACUUGGUUCUAUUGCCUGGUUGAGCCUUUUGAUUAACACCUCAGAGCUCCCACCCACUGUGGGGUCUGCCCCUCUAUUAGAGAAGCACUGGUCUAAGGGAUGAAUCGAUAAGCGAUAUGAAAGAUCCAUCCAUCCAUCCAUUUUUCUACCGCUUAUUCACUUCGGGGUCGCGGCGGGGCGCUGGAGCCUAUCUCAGCUAGGCCCUGCGAUCAGGGGGCGACUUGUCCAGGGUGUACACCACCUUCUGCCUGAUUUUAGAUGAUAUCAGAGAUAGCCGUGGUAAAACUCCCGAAAGUUUGUAAAACCCUUGUAAUUCAAAAUGAUCGAAAAACCGUGAUUGAUAACCUCACCUUGAUAAACUCUCAAGACAGUUAGUAUUUAGGCCUGCUUGCUUAAAUCAAUCAAUCAAUCAAUGUUUAUUUAUAUAGCCCUAAAUCACAAGUUUCUCAAAGGGCUGCACAAGCCACAACGACAUCCUCGGUUCAAAUACUAACAUGAAUACAAGAGACAUUAACGCAGUCCUGGGCAAUUAUUUUACUCAUGGGGGCCACAUUUAGAUAAAAAAAAGUAUGUCUGGGGGCCAGUGUAUUUAUUUUUAGGAACACUAAUACAAACCCUCACAAUAAUGAUUGGAAGCUAAAAACGUGAUGACGGAGCGUCUUAGCAAACAGAAUGGAAUUUGAAUUUUUUUUUUUUUUUUUUACUGAAUGAGACACCCAGAAUGUACAUUAAAAUAAAUAAUGUGAGAUUUACCAUAUCAACUAUGAACGACAAAACACUGAAUAUUGACGACAUAUUUUAAUAUCAACAGAAACGCAACCAAAAUGCAACAAACAUAGUGAGAAAAACCCCACCUACAAUCUGAUAUACUUCAUAGUCACCAUAGUAAGUAAUUAGAUGACCAUAGUAAGUAAUUAGAUGACCAUAGUAACUAAUUAGAUGACCAAGGUAACUAGUAUAUCAUGCGGAUUCCAAGCAUUGAAAGGCUUAGUAGAGUUGAAGACUUCUGGUCAUUAGAAAACAAGAGUGCACAUCAUAAUGGCAGCUAAACUUUCCAUCCUAAAGAUCUAAAACUAAUAUUUGGGAAUGUCCGGCGGGACAGAUUGAAAAGCUCAACGGGCCCCAUGCGGCCCCCGGGCCUUAAUUUUCCUGGGUAUGCAUAAUCGUCUUUCCCUGUUAAGAAAACAACACACCCCCAAUCUAAACUUUAAUAAACAAACAGAUUGCUGUUUUGAGCAACAAAGUUAUUUAACUUGAACCUAUCAGGGUGAUGGAUGUUUACUCAGAGGAAGACAAGACACAGGUGAUUUUACAGCGCGUUGAACAGAGUAGGAUGCCACAGCUUCCUCCAGGACACUCUAGUGACAAAAACAUGCAAAAUAGAGGUCUAAUUAUUUUACUUAUCAAAAAAAAAAAACUAGCUCAAAAGAUUUCAGUGUGUCCAUGAGUACUUUUUGAAGACAUUCAACAAUACGACAAUAACAAGAUAAACGUGAUCAUUUUGGCUACAAAAACCAAGACCAUUAAAUCCCUUUAUGUGUCGAUAAAAUAAUUGAUCUUUUCUUACUAAAUGUGAAUGUAAAAAUAUUUGAUAGUAAAAAACAUGCUGCGCCGUCGCCAGGAAUUUACCGUACAAAAAAGGUGGUACCGCUUUUCCAUGCACUGUAAAAACAACAACGGUAGAUUUUACGGUAUAACACAGGCAGCAAUACCCAUUUACAGUAAUAUAAAAAAUGACAAUUAGUGGAGGAGUUCAAGUACCUCGGAGUCUUGUUCACCAGUGAGGGAAGAGCGGCUCGUGAGAUCGACAGGCGGAUCGGUGCGGCGUCUUCAGUAAUGCGGACGCUGUAUCGAUCCGUUGUGGUGAAGAAGGAGCUGAGCCGGAAGGCAAAGCUCUCAAUUUACCGGUCCAUCUAUGUUCCCAUCCUCACCAAUGGUCAUGAGCUUUGGGUUAUGACCGAAAGGACAAGAUCACGGGUACAAGCGGCCGGAAUUAGUUUCCUCCGAGGGGGGCUCCCUUAGAGAUAGGGUGAGAAGCUCUGCCCUCCGGGAGGAGCUCAAAGUAAAGCCGCUGCUCCUCCACAUCGAGAGGAGCCAGAUGAGGUGGUUCAAGUAACUGGUCGGGUUGCCACCCGAACACCUCCCUGGGGAGGUGUUUAGAGCCACGGGGAAGACCCAGGACACGUUGGGAAGACUAUGUCUACCGGCUGGCCUGGGAACGCCUCGGGAUCCCCCGGGAAGAGCUGGACGAAGUGGUUGGGGAGAGGAAAGUCUGGGCUUCCCUGCUUAGGCUGCUGCCCCCGCGACCCGACCUUGGACAAACGGAAGAAGAUGGAUGGAUGAUUCCGAAGGAAAUUGUGUAAUAAUAUCAUACUAGUGUGUUUAUAUUUUAUUCAUUGUUUUGAAGCAGGUGAAUUUAGGGCAGCCAUAACUGCGAGUUUGACACCUCCGAUCUAGAUUUGAUGCUAUGUUUUGGAAAGAAAAUUGAGGAAACCGCUACGAUAUGAUUGAUAUAUGUUCAAGUGUGUAUAUGGCAGACUGGUGUUGCAAAGUUAUUUCUUUGUGUAGAAUAACAAACAAUGUUCUCGUCAAAUGACACAACACCGUGUUCUGCAUCGGUAUGUUCACUUCUUAUCGUAAAUACUUAGCUUAGUGCAGUCAUUAGAGGUCCGGUAUCAAUCAGGUUCAUCGGCUGCCGUCGACCUUGGCUUCAUUUCACUGUGCUGUGCUCUCUGUGUAUUCCAUUGAAAAGCUUAUUAAUAACUAAGUAUGGACAUACGAGCUUUUCUUAAGUGCUAAUGUAAAGGAAGUGGAGCUUAGAAAUGUUCAGUCAUCAUUUAUGUCAUCCACCAGCCCGGUUGAAAAACACUUUUUUGUUUGGUUAACAAUUUGUAACCCCGAUUGUCAUCAUUAAUCUUGUUUGUGUGUGUUAUUCAGUACAUUCUACACCCCUAUAGCUCAUAAUAAGGAUGCAAUACCAAAAAGUAGAAGUAACUUCACCUGACAUUGUACAAAUCAAGUGUACAAAAAAAAAAAAAAAUCUUCUUUUAAUAACUUCAACAGCGUAUAAAUGCAAUAAUUCAGAUAGGAUUCCUCAGUUGGCACAUAUAGUGUGCUGUAGCAAAGUAUUAAUAAAUAAUGAUGUAACACUGCUGAUGGUCAUGUAUGAUGUUUAAAAAGGCAAUGACGGUGAUGUUAGGAAUGAUAGCAUUUGUGUGCUGAUGGUGACUGUAAUGAUAAUGAUGGCUGUGUGUGGAUAUAUUUUUAUAUUUUCAAAAAAACAAUAGAUUGUUUAGGCCUACGCCACUCUUCCCUUAUAGUAGUGCAUACUAAGAACGUGGUUGUGAUGCAGCCUUAAUUAAAAGAUGUGAACCAACCUCAAA
Molecule: long non-coding RNA, 4493 nt
Organism: Nerophis ophidion (straightnose pipefish)
Lineage: Eukaryota; Metazoa; Chordata; Actinopteri; Syngnathiformes; Syngnathidae
Exons: 2
Source: RefSeq, a predicted model, not a curated record